UCCGAGGUCUUUGAGACUGUAUACUUUUG
This 29-nucleotide non-coding RNA is filed under the name Mus musculus (house mouse). Lineage: Eukaryota; Metazoa; Chordata; Mammalia; Rodentia; Muridae. The record is from RNAcentral.